CGUGAUGGGACUGAAUCCCAAGCAGAUGCAGAUAUCAAUGUUAUUAAUGCUGACACCUUCCCUCUUCCACCCCAAAUACAUGACACAAUAUGUGACAAGCACUUAGGACAGAAAGGAAAAUGCGGGUGACAGAAAGCCAGAAAGCUCUUCUGAAAUACUACAUGGAGUUGGCUGUCUGCUGAAUUCAUACAGAGUUAUGGCACCUCAGGUGCCAUGAUUUUUUCCAGACUGCUACAAACAAAAUAAAAGCCACCAAAUGAGAAAAAGAAUAAAACACGGCUAGAGCUAAAGCACAAGCAACAACAGAAAUAACAGUUGAUGUUUAAAAAAAGAGCAAAAAGAGCUCUGCAGACCUCAGUUCUCCUGAUAAAUUCUAGCUCAUCAAAUCUAGGCAUGACCCGGUUUUGACACCAUUAACAUAUUUCCCCAUUCUAAAGUUUGAAAGGACGAUGAGAGGCCGAGGCCAGCCCUAAACUCUUGCCAGGAUAUUAGAAUAUCAUCAUGCUAUCAAAAAGCCACUUAGGAACCUCUGAGCUUCCCUGUCCCUUGUCACCCAGCCCCACAGGCGGGUAAGUGAAAAGGAAUAUGAACACACCAAAUACUCAAUAUUUGUGUUUCUGUGUGAAGGCAAGUUUUCUCCAGUGGCAGGGAGAGGGGCAAAUACUCAUUUAGAAAUAAAUUCCAAAGUACUCUGUUCUUCCAGAAAAGAUCUGCCCUCAAGAGGAACGAAGAGCCUAACUGGGGAUUUCCCAAAGAGUAAGCAAUACAGGUGAGGGAAAAUACUCAACUCCAGGGCUCUCACCUUCCUGUCUCACCUGGGAGUCAAUUCAGACUAACCCCUAGCCAGAUAAAUAUAAAAACCUCACACUCAUGUCCUAUUUACCUCAGUUCCUUUACCAGCACAUAACAUUUGC
This is a long non-coding RNA of Felis catus (domestic cat), 914 nucleotides long. RefSeq lists it as uncharacterized. The transcript has 2 exons. The record is from RefSeq and is a predicted model, not a curated record. NCBI's taxonomy places the organism in Eukaryota, Metazoa, Chordata, Mammalia, Carnivora, Felidae.